Molecule: long non-coding RNA, 1334 nt
Filed under: Oncorhynchus mykiss (rainbow trout)
Lineage: Eukaryota; Metazoa; Chordata; Actinopteri; Salmoniformes; Salmonidae
Description: lncRNA (ENSOMYG00000060693.1)
Source: RNAcentral
GAAGGACAACAAGGAAGGCAAGGUGGUGUCCAAAAAGAGCCUGCUGCAGUGCCAGUCUCUUGCCAAGGCCAAAAUCCCUCAAGUGCUGAGUAAGUUUUUCUCAAUCUGUGAUGUCACUGUUUUUACACACUUAUAGACGUCAGAGAUGUAUAGAAUGCAUUAUGGAGUGGGAUUAUGAAGCUGCCUUUUUUUAUUUUCAUGUUCACAGAAACAUUGGAAGAAACAAGGACACAGAGGAAUCAGUACAGGUUUUAUGGGUACCUGUGUGCCUACUUUACAUCCAUAUACGGCCACAGACCAGGCCUAUAUAAAAACAUGUUGGUGAAAGAGGUGGAGGAGGCAAAAUGUGACCAGUCUGGGGUGUACCUGAUCAAUGUAAGUCUAUGAAAUACAGCUGGCUGUGUUUAUUUGUUUGUUUGCUUGGUUGGUUAUCUUUGGAAACAAUUGCAGUCGCAGGAGCGUAAUGUGUUUUUUUGUGUUUUUUCUCUGUUCAAUUUCUAUUAGGUGGGGGAACACAAAACAAAUCGGGAGUACGGCAUGGUCCAGAUGUCGCUGACAAAGGAGGAGUACAGCUGGUUUUCCGACUUCCUCAAAUUCAAGCACUGUCUCUUAGGGGGAAAGAAGGCCCAGCACUUCUUUUUCAAUUCAACAAACACUCAGAUGAAGAACCUGCCUGCCUACCUGAGGGAGGUGUGGAAGGAGAUGGGUCUGCCCGAAUGUCCUUCAUUCACUGACCUGAGGACCUCCAUUGUCACUCAUGUAAAAAACAUGCUCCCAAAGGUUGACAGGGAAAGGGUGGCCAACUUCAUGUGCCACAACAUCCAGACGGCAGACAAAUAUUAUGCCAUGAAUUUAAAUCCAACCCAAGCAAAUGAAACCAGGGCACUCUUUGAGGCUGCACUGAAGGGGGAAGAUAACACAGUCGCCGCAGAGAACCAGCCCUCCACCUCAGGAGAAAGAAAGCAGAAGGUGAGAGAGGAUGCCUCCCUCUCCGACGGGAGCACCACCCCUGAAGAGACCAAGGUGAUGUACCAGGAGUCUGGCACGUCCGCCGGUGACUCGGAAGAGGAGGAAGAGGAUGAAGAUGAGGAACAGAUGGCCAGACAACUUCCAGUAAGAUCAGCUAUUCUGACAGGACACAUUUGAUUAUCAAAAUGUACUUGUAAACUAUGUAACAGUCAAGUGUGAAUUCUGAGAUAUAUCUAAUUUCUUGUGUUUGCUCUGUCAGGAGACACCUUCCAAGGUGACCAAUCCUCAGGUGGAGAUGGAACUUACCCCAAAGAGGAAGCGGAGCAUCUGCACACGCCGCAUGGAGGUCGCCAUCAGCCCCAUGC